Molecule: non-coding RNA, 29 nt
Filed under: Rattus norvegicus (Norway rat)
Lineage: Eukaryota; Metazoa; Chordata; Mammalia; Rodentia; Muridae
Source: RNAcentral
UGGGUUCCUUGUGAUUUUAAGCAGAAGUC